GCGGCCUAUCAGCUUGUUGGUGAGGUAACGGCUCACCAAGGCAGCGACGGGUAGCUGGUCUGAGAGGACGGUCAGCCACACUGGGACUGAGACACGGCCCAGACUCCUACGGGAGGCAGCAGUAGGGAAUCUUGCGCAAUGGGCGAAAGCCUGACGCAGCAACGCCGCGUGGGGGAUGAAGGCUCUCGGGUUGUAAACCCCUUUCAGCAGGGACGAUUGUGACGGUACCUGCAGAAGAAGGACCGGCCAACUACGUGCCAGCAGCCGCGGUAAUACGUAGGGUCCGAGCGUUGUCCGGAUUUAUUGGGCGUAAAGAGCUCGUAGGCGGCUCAGUAAGUCGGAUGUGAAAACUCGGGGCUCAACCCCGAGACGCCAUCCGAUACUGCUGUGGCUCGAAUCUGGUAGGGGAGCACGGAAUUCCUGGUGUAGCGGUGAAAUGCGCAGAUAUCAGGAGGAACACCGGCGGCGAAGGCGGUGCUCUGGGCCAGUAUUGACGCUGAGGAGCGAAAGCGUGGGUAGCAAACAGGAUUAGAUACCCUGGUAGUCCACGCCGUAAACGUUGGGCACUAGGUGUGGGUUCCUAUCGACGGAAUCCGUGCCGUAGCUAACGCAUUAAGUGCCCCGCCUGGGGAGUACGG
RNAcentral lists this ribosomal RNA (638 nucleotides) under uncultured actinomycete. Its description in RNAcentral is "bacterial SSU rRNA". It matches the Rfam family "Bacterial small subunit ribosomal RNA", at positions 233 to 885 of the family's 1533-position model. Lineage: Bacteria; Bacillati; Actinomycetota; Actinomycetes; Actinomycetales. The record is from RNAcentral.